GACAAUUUGUCCGAGUGGUUAAGAGAAAUUAGAAAUCUUUUGGGCUCUGCCCGCGCAGGUUCGAAUCCUGCAGUUGUCG
Molecule: transfer RNA, 79 nt
Filed under: Brettanomyces bruxellensis
Lineage: Eukaryota; Fungi; Ascomycota; Pichiomycetes; Pichiales; Pichiaceae
Rfam family: tRNA
About the family: Transfer RNA (tRNA) molecules are approximately 80 nucleotides in length. Their secondary structure includes four short double-helical elements and three loops (D, anti-codon, and T loops).
Source: RNAcentral